CUGAGAUGGAGCUUACAGAGGAUUUGUAUUUCCACCUGGCAAAACACCAUCAGAUUUCCAUUUUGCUCAAAGACAAGCUUGAAGGUCUAGACCCAGAAUUUAAGGGAAGCGGUCACCCCAGAAAAGAUCUUACCUUGUGUAAGUACAGGACAAAGUACAGGAUCUGACAAACAGUGUUCACUUAGUAAUUCUGCUUUUCAGUUCAAGAGUAAGUACACCCAUUAAAAUUAAGAAAAACAAAAAAAAAUAAAGAAUUACAAACAUGAGAGCUGCAAGAACCUUCUGAACUGCCAUCUUGCUAAUUCUGCAAACUUGGAACAUAUUUCAAGAGGUCCAGGAAAAGUCUGAUCAGAGGUGAAUGCAGAGCUUGUAAGAGAAGAUAUUUACAGCUUUCUUCAAGCAAGGAUCUUGAACCCAGCCCAGCCAGGCCACUGGGAACCAACUGCAGUUCUGCUGAAAGAAGCAAG
This is a long non-coding RNA of Zonotrichia leucophrys gambelii, 467 nucleotides long. RefSeq lists it as uncharacterized. The record is from RefSeq and is a predicted model, not a curated record. The transcript has 3 exons. Lineage: Eukaryota; Metazoa; Chordata; Aves; Passeriformes; Passerellidae.